This 253-nucleotide ribosomal RNA is filed under the name uncultured bacterium. RNAcentral describes it as "partial 16S ribosomal RNA". It matches the Rfam family "Bacterial small subunit ribosomal RNA", at positions 524 to 776 of the family's 1533-position model. The record is from RNAcentral.
UACGUAGGGUGCAAGCGUUAAUCGGAAUUACUGGGCGUAAAGCGUGCGCAGGCGGUUGUGUAAGACAGAUGUGAAAUCCCCGGGCUCAACCUGGGAACUGCAUUUGUGACUGCACAGCUGGAGUGCGGCAGAGGGGGAUGGAAUUCCGUGUGUAGCAGUGAAAUGCGUAGAUAUGCGGAGGAACACCGAUGGCGAAGGCAAUCCCCUGGGCCUGCACUGACGCUGAGACACGAAAGCGUGGGUAGCAAACAGG